RNAcentral lists this long non-coding RNA (406 nucleotides) under Mytilus galloprovincialis (Mediterranean mussel). Lineage: Eukaryota; Metazoa; Mollusca; Bivalvia; Mytilida; Mytilidae. The record is from RNAcentral.
UCUGUGCUGGUGAUUUGGUCCUGUCAGGUGCUGGUGGGUCCUGAUUCUGUGCUGGUGGGUUUGUUUACAUUGUAUCAGAACGCAAUAAAACGACUGUUUUGUUGCUUAAUUUUUCUCUGAUGCGUCAUAAGUACCAUGCAAAGUAUAUUACAACAAUAUUAUAUUGCAAAAGUCGUGCAAGUUCGUUAAACGGAAUUGUCCUGACGCUGUGCUAGUGAUAAGGAAAACGGUCCUUGUUCUGUGCCUUUAUAUUUUAGUUAAAAGUGGCAUAUAUUCAAGAUCAUUGAUGCUGUACUGUUAUUGACUAAUUAACUGUUGUCUGCUUUCUUGAAAUUGACAUUGUUGUGAAUCUGUUUACUGUUAUUAUGAGAGAAAAAAUACCCCUAUUUUUUUAUUUUUUUUAAAA